Gopherus flavomarginatus (Mexican gopher tortoise) is the source of this 716-nucleotide long non-coding RNA. RefSeq lists it as uncharacterized. NCBI's taxonomy places the organism in Eukaryota, Metazoa, Chordata, Testudines, Testudinidae. The transcript is spliced from 4 exons. The record is from RefSeq and is a predicted model, not a curated record.
AGGAGAAAGACUGAACUAUUUCUUAAAAACAUGGUUUUUAUUAAUCAAUAUGUGUGUAUGCCAGGAUGAAGUCAUGAGGAAGAGACGUUCUUGAAUUGCUUUACCACACUCUGCUCAAUGCGCCUUUCAUUCUCGUGACAUUUGUAGAGCUGCUCAGACACAUUCCUUCCACCACCACCACUCCUUUAUCCCGUGAAGAGUGAUCACUCUAGGGUUCUUUCGUAGCCCAGGGGAACAGCUUCAGCAGGAGACAUUGAGAGAGCCCCACAGCAGAAUAUCCCAUGGCUUAGUGGCUGGGGCACUCACCUGAGAGGUGGCAAAGCCCUAUUCAAAUUCUCUCUCCUUCCUAGACAGAGGAGGGACUUGGUCCCCCACAUCCCAGGCACCAUUUGCUGCAAUACCAGUCGCAGUUGGCAGUUUGUUAUUAAAAGCACCUGGCCAUUAAAGGAAGUCAGAUCACAGGGCAUGUUCUUUAGCUGUGCUGGUCUGAAAAUCACAGGCCAAAUUACUGCACUAAAGGAUAAAAGCUCACACAGAUCCUGAUUCAGCAAAGACAAGGAACUGAGACGUGCUAAGAUUCCCCUGGAAUGUUCCAUCGGGAGGAGAGGGGUUGCUUCUCUGCAGAAUGGAUAAGAGCCUUUGCCCAGCCUAAGCUCAUUGGUAAGCACCUGAGCUCUGUGGGUAUGUACCUGGCAUGCUAAGUGUGCUGUUGCUGC